Molecule: long non-coding RNA, 410 nt
Organism: Vigna angularis (adzuki bean)
Lineage: Eukaryota; Viridiplantae; Streptophyta; Magnoliopsida; Fabales; Fabaceae
Exons: 3
Source: RefSeq, a predicted model, not a curated record
AGCCAUUCCUAUCUCUACCGUAGCAUCAGAGUGUGCAUUCAGUACAGGAGGAAGAGUGGUUAGUCCUUAUCGUAGUUGCCUAACGCCUAAAAUAGUGGAAGUGCUUGUUUGCACACAAGAUUGGUUAAAAGGAACACCUUUCUCUAUACUUUUUGAUGAGGAUCCUAAAGAACUUGAUAAAUUUGAGCAAGAGAUAACCUCUCAAGAUGAAGUGGGACCUUCAAGUGUUGCUAUUAAUUUGGAUGAUUGAAGUUUUGCCACAAUUUGUUAGUUAUCUAAAGUACAUGAUGAUUCAUACAUUGAAAGCUACAUAAGCACCAUCGGAGUUGAUUUUGUGAGUUUGGCCUUUACUAGAGUGGUAGAAAUUAUGUGCUUGCUUAUUUUACAGUAGAAGAGACAUAUUGAUCUUU